AUAAAGUUUAAUUCUAGUUUAAAGAUUUAUUUAAUUUUUUUUUUACAUGUAAAUUUUUGUAGGAUAUUAGUUAAAUUUUAAAAAUUUAAUUAGAAUGAUUUAUUCGCAGUAUUUAAUUUUAAUAAUUUAAGAAAUUAAGAAUUAGAAAUAAAUUUUAAUAUUAACAAAUUUUGUGCCAGCAGUUGCGGUUAUACAAAAGAUAUAAAUGAAUUUUAUUAGUAAAUAAUUAUAUGAAUUAUUGAUAAGUUAAAAUAGUAUUUAUUAGGUGAAAUUUUAAGUAUUAAAUUAAUUUAUAAAAAAGUUUUUAUUAUUAUGAAAUUUAUAUUUAAACUAGGAUUAGAUACCCUAUUAUUUUAAAUGUAAAAAGUUUUACUGAAGUAGUAUUAGUUAUGUUCUUGAAAUUUAAAGAUUUUGGCGGUAUUUUAGUCUAUUUAGAGGAACCUGUUCUGUAAUUGAUAAUCCACGAUUAACUUUACUUAUUUUAUAAAUUUGUAUACCGUCGUUAUUAGAAAAUUUUAGCAGAAAAUAAAUUUUUAAUAUUUUAAAUUAAAAAAUAUAUCAGAUCAAGGUGCAGUAUAUAUUUAAGAAGAAAUGGGUUACAAUAAAUUUAUUUAUACGGAUUGAAGGAAGAAUAAACUUUAUGAAGGUGGAUUUAAUAGUAAUAAAAUUUAAUUAAAUUUUAUGAUUUUGGCUCUAAAAUAUGUACAUAUCGCCCGUCGCUCUUAUUAUAAGGUAAGAUAAGUCGUAACAUAGUAGAUGUACUGGAAAGUGUAUCUAGAAUGAA
Molecule: ribosomal RNA, 784 nt
Filed under: Dyscolus funereus
Lineage: Eukaryota; Metazoa; Arthropoda; Insecta; Coleoptera; Carabidae
Description: 16S ribosomal RNA
Source: RNAcentral